Small nucleolar RNA from Pocillopora damicornis (cauliflower coral), 135 nucleotides. RefSeq annotates it as U8 small nucleolar RNA. NCBI's taxonomy places the organism in Eukaryota, Metazoa, Cnidaria, Anthozoa, Scleractinia, Pocilloporidae. The record is from RefSeq and is a predicted model, not a curated record.
UCAUCAGUUAGGGUGAUCCUUACCUGUAGUCCUUCGGGACACAGUGAGGAACGUGAUGAGAGAGAGGGAAUGAUUCUUCGUGAGUUAAACCUCUCGGCCCUGAUGGCUGCAACACCAUCAGUGGCUAUCUCUGAC